Molecule: non-coding RNA, 1482 nt
Organism: Mus caroli (Ryukyu mouse)
Lineage: Eukaryota; Metazoa; Chordata; Mammalia; Rodentia; Muridae
Source: RefSeq, a predicted model, not a curated record
AGACCUCGGGGAAACCUCGAUCCGUCCACCUCUUCGAAUGGCCACCAGGGGGCGCUGCAAGGCUGCUUCCCAGAUAUUGGGCAGCCUGGUAGUUGCCACACGGCUUCAGUAGACCCUGGAAAAUGUGGCACGAGUGAAAACUACUCCAAUGUAGAGUAUGAAAAUUAUAUGGAAAAUUUUUUUCUGCAGGAAUGAGCAGAGUUCCAGCUUCACACAAGCCUCUUCAUUCAUUGUGGGAAAACACUGGAGACAGAGUGAGAGUAUAGAGGGGAGAGGGCCUCCAUAUGUGAGCAACAACAAGGCUGGGAGACUACAGAAGAUCCCGUGAUCCCCUGAGUGGUGGUAUUCAAAUAUUGUUACAUCAACAGCUCUAACUGCCUUGCCAGUGUACUUUACUCAUGUGUGUUUUACAUGAGAAAGGGCCAAGAAUGGCCUGAAAACAAUGAAGGAAAGAAUUUUAGGAAAGUACAGAUUAUGGAAAACAAAUUUUAGAAGAUAAAAUAGUAUAAUGAAGUGGAUCACUACUCUGACGGAGGAAAAUAAAUUAACCACCUUGCCCCAGGGCACUGAGUCCUGUAACAAAUGGUUAUCGAACACCGAUUGAAAGUCCGGUGCUGUGCCAAGACUUUUAGGGAAUUGGUCCUAAAAGAGCUCCCUAAUAAAUGUCCUACACACCACCGAUCAAUAACUUUUCAUCUUGGAGACAGUUCCGAGAGAACCAACCUACCAGACAAAUUGCCAUUUGAUCCCUGGGUGUAAGCUUACCUCUGGAUUUGACUUUUGUCUUCUCCCACCCUAAGAAUCCCAGGCACAAAUAUGCAACAUAGCUACUACCGCUCUCUCGGCCCACGCAGUAAACCUGACGGAGAGAGGAAGUAUGUUCAUUAUCCUGUCAGGGCAAAGAUGCUCCUUCAAGUGCAGAGUAAUGGCACGGUUUCUGCCCGUUUUCCCUGAAGUCCCAUCUGGAGUCAGCCUCUUCCGAGCUGAGUCCUACCAUCUAUCACAAGAAAGCACGCCACAGUCUCAUCCCUUUAACAGCCACCGUAUGGCUAUUUCUGUCUUUAGACUGCCAGCACAGAGCCCUCCUGGGGGCCAUCUAUGAUCUUCCGGGUCUCCAAGGACUCUCCACCGUAAGGAGCAUGGUGGCUCAUCUCCGAAUAGAAAGAUCCCAGCUGUUUACUCAGGAAAAGACCAGGUGAAUCACUGUUAUCUACAAUAAUGUGAAACCACUGGAGAAGGAUGGAGAAGGAUGUUUUUUAAUCCUUCUAACACACAUACACUCAUACACACCCAUGCAAGCACACACGAAUACAUACACACACAUGUACACACAUGCACACACACACAUGUUAAUCAGAGGUCUAGAAUCUUGAACAGAAGAAUACAUAUACUUCAAGAUGUCCUGGUAAAUACCGUUGGGUUAAAAGGAAGAAUUUAUACUUCUUUUUUUCAAACUCAAGAAUUAAAGUAGCGUCAUCCCAC